RNAcentral lists this unclassified non-coding RNA (568 nucleotides) under Hevea brasiliensis (rubber tree). The record is from RNAcentral. Lineage: Eukaryota; Viridiplantae; Streptophyta; Magnoliopsida; Malpighiales; Euphorbiaceae.
UUCUCCCUCUUAGCUGGAUUUGUUCAUACUUACUGUAUCUAUAGUUCAGCUUGAGAUAUUAUCUUCUUAUUAUAUGAGGUUUUCCUUUCAAGACUAAGGGCAUACAUCUUUGAAAAGUGUGCAAGCUGGAGUAGGCUCCAACGGCAAUGGAAGAUGUUUGGUAGUUGAUUUUGAACCAAUAGAACAAAGGGGAAUUAGGGGUGAGAAACAAGUUCUCAAUGGGUAGAGAAACACAUUCUCAAUUUAUGAAUUCAAAGGGGAACUUCGUCCUAUGUAUAGAGUUUUUGUAGUUCUAUUAACAUCAGGAUUAGAAACUCUAAAUCCAAUUUUAAUUAGGAAUCACAAAUCACAUAAAAUUCUAAAUAAAAUGAAAUAUUUCUUUAUAGGUAGUCCUAAUUCCCUAGAAUUUACUUUGGCACAGUUGACCGACAAUAACACUAGAAGGCAAAGCUGAAUCCAAAGCUGAAUAGCACUGAGAACUCAUGUUGUGCUUUUUGUCUUUUUGAUCUUAUGUGGCCUUAAUUCCUUUUGAUUAUAUUUCCCUUUGAAAUACUAGUUUCCUAACUUG